UUUUUUUUUUUUUUUUUUAGCCCUAGACGACGCUGGCGGCGUGCCUAAUACAUGCAAGUCGAACGCUUCUUUUUCCACCGGAGCUUGCUCCACCGGAAAAAAGAAGAGUGGCGAACGGGUGAGUAACACGUGGGGUAACCUGCCCAUCAGAAGGGGAUAACACUUGGAAACAGGUGCUAAUACCGUAUAACAAUCAAAACCGCAUGGUUUUGAUUUGAAAGGCGCUUUCGGGUGUCGCUGAUGGAUGGACCCGCGGUGCAUUAGCUAGUUGGUGAGGUAACGGCUCACCAAGGCCACGAUGCAUAGCCGACCUGAGAGGGUGAUCGGCCACAUUGGGACUGAGACACGGCCCAAACUCCUACGGGAGGCAGCAGUAGGGAAUCUUCGGCAAUGGACGAAAGUCUGACCGAGCAACGCCGCGUGAGUGAAGAAGGUUUUCGGAUCGUAAAACUCUGUUGUUAGAGAAGAACAAGGAUGAGAGUAACUGUUCAUCCCUUGACGGUAUCUAACCAGAAAGCCACGGCUAACUACGUGCCAGCAGCCGCGGUAAUACGUAGGUGGCAAGCGUUGUCCGGAUUUAUUGGGCGUAAAGCGAGCGCAGGCGGUUUCUUAAGUCUGAUGUGAAAGCCCCCGGCUCAACCGGGGAGGGUCAUUGGAAACUGGGAGACUUGAGUGCAGAAGAGGAGAGUGGAAUUCCAUGUGUAGCGGUGAAAUGCGUAGAUAUAUGGAGGAACACCAGUGGCGAAGGCGGCUCUCUGGUCUGUAACUGACGCUGAGGCUCGAAAGCGUGGGGAGCAAACAGGAUUAGAUACCCUGGUAGUCCACGCCGUAAACGAUGAGUGCUAAGUGUUGGAGGGUUUCCGCCCUUCAGUGCUGCAGCUAACGCAUAAGCAUCCGUC
Molecule: ribosomal RNA, 899 nt
Filed under: Enterococcus faecium
Lineage: Bacteria; Bacillati; Bacillota; Bacilli; Lactobacillales; Enterococcaceae
Description: bacterial SSU rRNA
Rfam family: Bacterial small subunit ribosomal RNA
Source: RNAcentral